Molecule: ribosomal RNA, 482 nt
Filed under: uncultured bacterium
Lineage: Bacteria
Description: partial 16S ribosomal RNA
Rfam family: Bacterial small subunit ribosomal RNA
Source: RNAcentral
AUUGAACGCUGGCGGCAUGCCUUACACAUGCAAGUCGAACGGUAACAGGUCUUCGGAUGCUGACGAGUGGCGAACGGGUGAGUAAUACAUCGGAACGUGCCCAGACGUGGGGGAUAACGAGGCGAAAGCUUUGCUAAUACCGCAUACGAUCUAAGGAUGAAAGCAGGGGACCGCAAGGCCUUGUGCGUUUGGAGCGGCCGAUGGCAGAUUAGGUAGUUGGUGGGAUAAAAGCUUACCAAGCCGACGAUCUGUAGCUGGUCUGAGAGGACGACCAGCCACACUGGGACUGAGACACGGCCCAGACUCCUACGGGAGGCAGCAGUGGGGAAUUUUGGACAAUGGGCGAAAGCCUGAUCCAGCAAUGCCGCGUGCAGGAUGAAGGCCUUCGGGUUGUAAACUGCUUUUGCACGGAACGAAAAGGCUCUGGCUAAUACCUGGGGCACAUGACGGUACCGUAAGAAUAAGCACCGGCUAACUACGUG